RNAcentral lists this ribosomal RNA (325 nucleotides) under uncultured eukaryote. RNAcentral describes it as "partial 18S ribosomal RNA". It matches the Rfam family "Eukaryotic small subunit ribosomal RNA", at positions 1470 to 1796 of the family's 1831-position model. The record is from RNAcentral.
CCCUUAGAUGUCCUGGGCCGCACGCGCGCUACACUGAUGCAUUCAACGAGCCUAUCCUUGACCGACAGGUCCGGGUAAUCUUUGAAUCUGCAUCGUGACGGGGAUAGAUUAUUGCAAUUAUUAAUCUUCAACGAGGAAUGCCUAGUAGGCGCAAGUCAUCAGCUUGCGUCGAUUACGUCCCUGCCCUUUGUACACACCGCCCGUCGCUCCUACCGAUUGGGUGUGCUGGUGAAAUGUUCGGAUCGGCCGUUUGUCGCGGUUUCCGCGUCAUGUGGCUGAGAAGUUCAUUAAACCCUCCCACCUAGAGGAAGGAGAAGUCGCGACA